GAUGAACGCUGGCGGCGUGCCUAUCCAUGCAAGUCGCGCGCACAGACGAGGAGCUUGCUCCUCUGACGUUAGCGGCGGACGGGUGAGUAACACGUGGAUAACCUACCUAUAAGACUGGGAUAACUUCGGGAAACCGGAGCUAAUACCGGAUAAUAUAUUGAACCGCAUGGUUCAAUAGUGAAAGACGGUUUUGCUGUCACUUAUAGAUGGAUCCGCGCCGCAUUAGCUAGUUGGUAAGGUAACGGCUUACCAAGGCAACGAUGCGUAGCCGACCUGAGAGGGUGAUCGGCCACACUGGAACUGAGACACGGUCCAGACUCCUACGGGAGGCAGCAGUAGGGAAUCUUCCGCAAUGGGCGAAAGCCUGACGGAGCAACGCCGCGUGAGUGAUGAAGGUCUUCGGAUCGUAAAACUCUGUUAUUAGGGAAGAACAAAUGUGUAAGUAACUAUGCACGUCUUGACGGUACCUAAUCAGAAAGCCACGGCUAACUACGUG
Molecule: ribosomal RNA, 496 nt
Filed under: uncultured bacterium
Lineage: Bacteria
Description: partial 16S ribosomal RNA
Rfam family: Bacterial small subunit ribosomal RNA
Source: RNAcentral